Molecule: ribosomal RNA, 2581 nt
Filed under: Staphylococcus aureus M1070
Lineage: Bacteria; Bacillati; Bacillota; Bacilli; Caryophanales; Staphylococcaceae
Description: bacterial LSU rRNA
Rfam family: Bacterial large subunit ribosomal RNA
Source: RNAcentral
UUAAGUUAUUAAGGGCGCACGGUGGAUGCCUUGGCACUAGAAGCCGAUGAAGGACGUUACUAACGACGAUAUGCUUUGGGGAGCUGUAAGUAAGCUUUGAUCCAGAGAUUUCCGAAUGGGGAAACCCAGCAUGAGUUAUGUCAUGUUAUCGAUAUGUGAAUACAUAGCAUAUCAGAAGGCACACCCGGAGAACUGAAACAUCUUAGUACCCGGAGGAAGAGAAAGAAAAUUCGAUUCCCUUAGUAGCGGCGAGCGAAACGGGAAGAGCCCAAACCAACAAGCUUGCUUGUUGGGGUUGUAGGACACUCUAUACGGAGUUACAAAGGACGACAUUAGACGAAUCAUCUGGAAAGAUGAAUCAAAGAAGGUAAUAAUCCUGUAGUCGAAAAUGUUGUCUCUCUUGAGUGGAUCCUGAGUACGACGGAGCACGUGAAAUUCCGUCGGAAUCUGGGAGGACCAUCUCCUAAGGCUAAAUACUCUCUAGUGACCGAUAGUGAACCAGUACCGUGAGGGAAAGGUGAAAAGCACCCCGGAAGGGGAGUGAAAUAGAACCUGAAACCGUGUGCUUACAAGUAGUCAGAGCCCGUUAAUGGGUGAUGGCGUGCCUUUUGUAGAAUGAACCGGCGAGUUACGAUUUGAUGCAAGGUUAAGCAGUAAAUGUGGAGCCGUAGCGAAAGCGAGUCUGAAUAGGGCGUUUAGUAUUUGGUCGUAGACCCGAAACCAGGUGAUCUACCCUUGGUCAGGUUGAAGUUCAGGUAACACUGAAUGGAGGACCGAACCGACUUACGUUGAAAAGUGAGCGGAUGAACUGAGGGUAGCGGAGAAAUUCCAAUCGAACCUGGAGAUAGCUGGUUCUCUCCGAAAUAGCUUUAGGGCUAGCCUCAAGUGAUGAUUAUUGGAGGUAGAGCACUGUUUGGACGAGGGGCCCCUCUCGGGUUACCGAAUUCAGACAAACUCCGAAUGCCAAUUAAUUUAACUUGGGAGUCAGAACAUGGGUGAUAAGGUCCGUGUUCGAAAGGGAAACAGCCCAGACCACCAGCUAAGGUCCCAAAAUAUAUGUUAAGUGGAAAAGGAUGUGGCGUUGCCCAGACAACUAGGAUGUUGGCUUAGAAGCAGCCAUCAUUUAAAGAGUGCGUAAUAGCUCACUAGUCGAGUGACACUGCGCCGAAAAUGUACCGGGGCUAAACAUAUUACCGAAGCUGUGGAUUGUCCUUUGGACAAUGGUAGGAGAGCGUUCUAAGGGCGUUGAAGCAUGAUCGUAAGGACAUGUGGAGCGCUUAGAAGUGAGAAUGCCGGUGUGAGUAGCGAAAGACGGGUGAGAAUCCCGUCCACCGAUUGACUAAGGUUUCCAGAGGAAGGCUCGUCCGCUCUGGGUUAGUCGGGUCCUAAGCUGAGGCCGACAGGCGUAGGCGAUGGAUAACAGGUUGAUAUUCCUGUACCACCUAUAAUCGUUUUAAUCGAUGGGGGGACGCAGUAGGAUAGGCGAAGCGUGCGAUUGGAUUGCACGUCUAAGCAGUAAGGCUGAGUAUUAGGCAAAUCCGGUACUCGUUAAGGCUGAGCUGUGAUGGGGAGAAGACAUUGUGUCUUCGAGUCGUUGAUUUCACACUGCCGAGAAAAGCCUCUAGAUAGAAAAUAGGUGCCCGUACCGCAAACCGACACAGGUAGUCAAGAUGAGAAUUCUAAGGUGAGCGAGCGAACUCUCGUUAAGGAACUCGGCAAAAUGACCCCGUAACUUCGGGAGAAGGGGUGCUCUUUAGGGUUAACGCCCAGAAGAGCCGCAGUGAAUAGGCCCAAGCGACUGUUUAUCAAAAACACAGGUCUCUGCUAAACCGUAAGGUGAUGUAUAGGGGCUGACGCCUGCCCGGUGCUGGAAGGUUAAGAGGAGUGGUUAGCUUCUGCGAAGCUACGAAUCGAAGCCCCAGUAAACGGCGGCCGUAACUAUAACGGUCCUAAGGUAGCGAAAUUCCUUGUCGGGUAAGUUCCGACCCGCACGAAAGGCGUAACGAUUUGGGCACUGUCUCAACGAGAGACUCGGUGAAAUCAUAGUACCUGUGAAGAUGCAGGUUACCCGCGACAGGACGGAAAGACCCCGUGGAGCUUUACUGUAGCCUGAUAUUGAAAUUCGGCACAGCUUGUACAGGAUAGGUAGGAGCCUUUGAAACGUGAGCGCUAGCUUACGUGGAGGCGCUGGUGGGAUACUACCCUAGCUGUGUUGGCUUUCUAACCCGCACCACUUAUCGUGGUGGGAGACAGUGUCAGGCGGGCAGUUUGACUGGGGCGGUCGCCUCCUAAAAGGUAACGGAGGCGCUCAAAGGUUCCCUCAGAAUGGUUGGAAAUCAUUCAUAGAGUGUAAAGGCAUAAGGGAGCUUGACUGCGAGACCUACAAGUCGAGCAGGGUCGAAAGACGGACUUAGUGAUCCGGUGGUUCCGCAUGGAAGGGCCAUCGCUCAACGGAUAAAAGCUACCCCGGGGAUAACAGGCUUAUCUCCCCCAAGAGUUCACAUCGACGGGGAGGUUUGGCACCUCGAUGUCGGCUCAUCGCAUCCUGGGGCUGUAGUCGGUCCCAAGGGUUGGGCUGUUC